GACGAACGCUGGAGGCGUGCUUAACACAUGCAAGUCGAACGAUGAAAUGGAGCUUGCUCCAUGGAUUAGUGGCGAACGGGUGAGUAACACGUGAAUAACCUGCCCUUAAUUUUGGAAUAACCCAGGGAAACCUGGGCUAAUACCGGAUAAGUAAACCUGUGGCAUCACAUGGUUUUGGAAAGUUUUUCGAUUAAGGAUGGAUUCGCGGCCUAUCAGCUUGUUGGUGAGGUAAUGGCUCACCAAGGCGACGACGGGUAGCCGGCCUGAGAGGGUGAACGGCCACACUGGGACUGAGACACGGCCCAGACUCCUACGGGAGGCAGCAGUGGGGAAUAUUGCGCAAGGGACGAAGGUCUGACGCAGCGACGCCUCGUGAGAGACGAAGGUCUUCGGAUUGUAAACCUCUUUCAGCAGGGACGAAGCGAAAGUGACGGUACCUGCAGAAGAAGCACCGGCUAACUAUGUGCCAGCCGCCGCUGUAA
This 482-nucleotide ribosomal RNA is filed under the name uncultured bacterium. RNAcentral's name for it is "partial 16S ribosomal RNA". It matches the Rfam family "Bacterial small subunit ribosomal RNA", at positions 28 to 523 of the family's 1533-position model. The record is from RNAcentral.